Molecule: ribosomal RNA, 435 nt
Filed under: uncultured bacterium
Lineage: Bacteria
Description: partial 16S ribosomal RNA
Rfam family: Bacterial small subunit ribosomal RNA
Source: RNAcentral
AGCGAACGCUGGCGGCAGGCUUAACACAUGCAAGUCGAGCGGGCACUUUCGGGUGUCAGCGGCGGACGGGUGGGUAACGCGGGGGAACGUGCCCUCUGGUUCGGAUUUACUCAGGGAUACUUGAGCUCAUACGGGAUCCGCCCUUAUGGGGACAGGCUUGCUGCCGGAGUAUGGGCGCGCGUUUGAUUCGAUGGUUGGUGGGGUAACGUCUCACCAAGGCGACGAUCAGUAGCUGGGCUGUGAGGCUGAUCAGCCACACCGGGGCGGGGACACGGCCCGGACUCCUACGGGAGGCAGGAGAGGGGGAUAUUGGACAAUGGGGGCAAGGCUGAUCCAGCCAGGCCGGGUGAGUGAUCAAGGCCUUAGAGUUGUAAAGCUCGUUUAUCCGGGACGAUAAUGACGGUACCGAAGGAAUAAGCCCCGGCUAACUUCGUG